AGUUCGAUCCUGGCUCAGAUUGAACGCUGACCGGAUCUUUACACGCGCGCGCGUACAAGUCGAACGGCAGCACGGUUUCGGUCUGGUGGCGAGUGGCGAACGGGUGAGUAAUGUAUCGGAACGUGCCUAGUAGCGGGGGAUAACUGCGCGAAAGCGUAGCUAAUACCGCAUACGCCCUUCAGGGGAAAGCGGGGGACCUUCAGACUCGCGCUAUUAAACAGCCCGAUAUCGGAUUAGCUAGUUGGUGGGGUAACGGCUCACCAGGCAGCGAUCCGUAGCUGGCGUUUGAAAGGAACGACCAGCCACUGGGACUGAGACACAGCCCCAGACUCCUACGGGAGGCAGCAGUGGGGAAUUUUGGACAAUGGAAACCCUGAUCCAGCCAUCCCGCGUGUGAUGAGAGGCCUUCGGGUUGUAAAGCACUUUUGGCAGGAAAAACGGCACGGGAUAAUACCCCGUGCAAUGACGGUACCUGCAGAAUAACAGCUAACUACGUGCCAGCAGCCGCGGUAAUACGUAGGGUGCAAGCGUUAAUCGGAAUUACUGGGCGUAAAGCGUGCGCAGGCGGUUCGGAAAGAAAGAUGUGAAAUCCCAGAAGCUUAACUUUGGAACUGCAUUUUUAACUACCGAGCUAGAAGGUGGACCGGGGAGGUGGAAUUCCGCGUGUAGCAGUGAAAUGUGUAGAUAUGCGGAGGAACACCGAUGGCGAAGGCAGCCUCCUGGGACUGCUGACACUCUUGCGAAAACGUGGGGAGCAAACAGGAUUAGAUACCCUGGUAGUCCACGCCUAAACGAUAUCAACUAGCUGUUGGGGCCUUCGGGCCUUGGUAGCUAACGCGUGAGGUCGGCCGCCUGGGAAGUACGGUCGCAAGAUUAAAACUCAAAGGAAUUGACGGGGACCCGCACAAGCGGUGGAUGAUGUGGAUUAAUUCGAUGCAACGCGAAAAACCUUACCUACCCUUGACAUGUCUGGAAUCCCGAAAGAGAUUUGGGAGUGCUCGCAAGAGAACCGGAACACAGGUGCUGCAUGGCUGUCGUCAGCUCGUGUCGUGAGAUGUUGGGUUAAGUCCCGCAACGAGCGCAGCCCUUGUCAUUAGUUAACUGCAGAAAGGGCACUCUAAUGAGACUGCCGGUGACAAACCGGAGGAAGGUGGGGAUGACGUCAAGUCUCAUGGCCCACAGGUAGGGCUUCACACGUCAUACAAUGGUCGGGACAGAGGGUCGCCAACCCGCGAGGGAGAUAAAUCCCGAAACCCGAUCGUAGUCCGGAUCACCAGUCUGCAACUCGACUGCGUGAAGUCGAAAUCGCUAGUAAUCGCGGAUCAGCAUGUCGCGGUGAAUACGUUCCCGGGUCUUUGUCACACACCGCCCGUCACACCAUGGGAGUGGGUUUUACCAGAAGUGAUUAGCCUAACCGUAAGGAGGCGAUUACCACUGAUAAGGAUUCAUGACUGGGGUGAAGUCGUAACAAGGUAG
This 1476-nucleotide ribosomal RNA is filed under the name uncultured Bordetella sp. RNAcentral describes it as "partial 16S-23S ribosomal RNA intergenic spacer". It matches the Rfam family "Bacterial small subunit ribosomal RNA". The record is from RNAcentral. Lineage: Bacteria; Pseudomonadati; Pseudomonadota; Betaproteobacteria; Burkholderiales; Alcaligenaceae.